This 204-nucleotide long non-coding RNA is filed under the name Elaeis guineensis (African oil palm). RNAcentral describes it as "long non-coding RNA (EGUI_LNC062585)". Lineage: Eukaryota; Viridiplantae; Streptophyta; Magnoliopsida; Arecales; Arecaceae. The record is from RNAcentral.
GAUCUCUUUUCUCUUCUGCAUUCGGUUUUAAUUCAUUUGCACAUUGCAUAUUCAGCACAUAUUCACUUCUGCUUUACACACUAUUGGUUAAAUUUGAAAAAUUUUUAAUAACCCAAUUCACCCCUCCUCUUGGGUUGUCUAGCUGGGUAAUAAAACAGCUUUCUUGACAUAAUCGGAUGCUGCGAUGUACUCCACCUCACAAAU